This is an RNA transcript of Paramacrobiotus metropolitanus, 1084 nucleotides long. RefSeq lists it as uncharacterized. The transcript has 3 exons. The record is from RefSeq and is a predicted model, not a curated record. Lineage: Eukaryota; Metazoa; Tardigrada; Eutardigrada; Parachela; Macrobiotidae.
UUUGUCAGUGGAUUAGACCGUACUGCUGUAACAUAUUGUACCAACUGGCGAUUGUAGACAGCUUUUAAGUGCACUAAAAAGGUGCAAUACAAUUUUUAGUAAGUACUUACAAUACAGAAACAUCUAAUGUAUACCGGAGUUUAGUAACUUUUCCUAUUAUUAUUAACAUUAUUACGGAGGUAUCCAGUAGAAUAUAAUCGAGUGUAUUUUGCACAUCAGUUUUUAUGUACUACAUACAAUUCCUGGGUUUUUCGAAAAGAUACGGUACACGUUUUCGCCAACAGCUGAAAGAAACGUAACUUGUCGCAAUGCCCCAAAAGCCACAAGUGUCAGGAUGUGAUCUCUGCAGUAAUAAAACCGAACGGUAAUUCCUGUGAAUCGUCUCCACGAGUUAACAGUCUCCAUCCGGGAAGCACACUAACGUUUGGACAAAUUUUACAUUCCCCCGGUGGAUCAGUCGAACUAUCAAUAGACAAAGAUGGGAAUCUGGCUGUUUAUCGGACCAUCGAUCGCGUGCAAUUAUGGACUUCUGGUACAGAGGGAAAAUUUACCCCAGGAAUCCAUGCUAUCCUGUUCUCGAACGGGAACUUCGUUCUAAGAGCAGAAAGUGGACAUGUCUGGUGGCAUUCGGGAACGCGGAAUUUGAAAGAUCCUUGGUUGACGGUGCAGGACACCGGUUUUAUGGUUAUUCACGAUGGCUGUGAUCCCGUACCAAAGUGGACAACCGAAACCCAUAACGGGAUAAAAACCCAUAUGAACAAACCAGUCUAAAAUGCCUCAAUCAAGAUAAGCCCCAUUAAUAGCAAGAAUAAAGGCAGAAUGAAUUGUUUAAAUGAAAACGAUCCAUAAUAAUUAUUAUACUGUACAAUUCCUCAGUUACCGAAGGGCCAUGAGUAUCGAAUUCUUCAGAAACAUUAUUAAGCUAUAAAUUUAACUUACAUUAUUGAACUACAAAUUUUAUAGCAAGCACUUAUACUAAACGCUUAUAGCGCUUACGCUUGUAUUUACUGGUCUACAGUUUACACACAGUGUUUAAAACGAAAUUAACUAGUACUAAAUACCAUACACUCGUAUUAACACAAAA